UCCAACGGCUAAUACACGGCAGUCAAUCUGUGUGGCCAUUUAAGGUCAUUACAGCUGUAUCAGACGCAAUGGGUGAAAAGUACCACAGGUGUUUCUGUUUGGGUUUGAUUGACCCAACAACGGGCCGGAAAUGAGACCGGACAAGAUUCCACGUAGUCCCUAACGAAUUGCUAAUUUAAAAAAAAUAAACUAGCCCAUUUAACUAAGUUUUAGUAUUUGAGUGGAACUAGUUAAUUGAGGCGUCUACCUGAUAGCUGGCUGUAAUGGAGUAAAAAAAAAGUUGACGUCGUGGAGCUACAAACUUCGGAUAAUACCACUCAACCAAUGAGCAGUCCAGCUUGGAACCACGACUGACCAGACUGCGAGCCACCAGUGCGUCCUGUAUGUCAACUCUGCUUCAUUCUCUGGAGAGACACGAGGACAGCGACUGUCACCAUUCACUGACCAUGCCGCCGUUCUUCCCAGUCCUUCUUACUCGGUGCAUAAUUCUCGCCGAAAAAAGUCACUAAAUCUGGGUUUGUGUAUGCGUGUGUUCAUGCCUUUGAGCAAUGACAGUCAAACUGUGCAGCUGGUCACACGCUGACAGUUGUGAACGCUCCCCCCCCGAGGACAAACUAUGCAGAAAGCCUUACUGCGCCCUCUUCCAUGGCCUUGUAGUGCUGUUCAAUGAGGCUUAUGGAAUAUUCUAUUGUUGUUUCACUGCAUUGUGAUACUGGAUGAUCUCCAGUGAGGUUUACAGGUUCUAUUAAUAUUAUAUCUUGACUUAGAGGUAGUAAUCUCCAGGAGAUGAAAUUUUUAAUUUUUAAUUUUUUAAUUGAAAUAGCCUUGCAGCCAUGUGACAUUAACACAGAUAUAAUAAGACGCUUUGUGUUGUUGAUAGUCUAGUACAGGGCUGUCCAAAUAU
Long non-coding RNA from Doryrhamphus excisus (bluestripe pipefish), 904 nucleotides. RefSeq lists it as uncharacterized. NCBI's taxonomy places the organism in Eukaryota, Metazoa, Chordata, Actinopteri, Syngnathiformes, Syngnathidae. The record is from RefSeq and is a predicted model, not a curated record.